Molecule: long non-coding RNA, 776 nt
Organism: Eurytemora carolleeae
Lineage: Eukaryota; Metazoa; Arthropoda; Copepoda; Calanoida; Temoridae
Exons: 3
Source: RefSeq, a predicted model, not a curated record
UUAGGAACUUAUCAUUCAAGAUAGAGCUUCCGUACCAUUAACAUGUCAUCCAUCAUUGAUCUCAAAUCUGCUCUUGAGCUUUUAAAGCCGUCUUAUAGAAAAAAGUGCCAGAAAACCUGGAUGGACUUUAUAGAACAUACUGGAUCUUUAUUAGAUGACAGUGCUCUGCAGGUGAAGAGGAUCUUAUAAAUUACUUCAAAUUUAUCCGAACUGAGAGAAAAAUGGCUUCUUCCUCAAUGUGGGUCCAAUAUAGUCAUGUAAAUGUAGUUCUGAAGAAUCGCUAUGACAAAAAGUUGCAGGGAUUUCCUGGUAUUACUACACUGCUAAAGAGCUACAACACUGAUGUAAAGCAGAGGGCGUCUGUAUUUGAAUCUGAUGACAUUCAGCAGUUCAUUGAACACCCUGAGAACUCACCAUAUUGGCAAGUUAGAAAGGUCAUCAUCAUUCAAGCAUACUUUGAAGGGCUUCGUCAUGUGGAGUUGAUGGACCUUCAAAUUGAGAAGAGGGUGAAAAAGAAUUAUGGUAUGCAAGAAUUAUGUCGUACAGACUAGAUUUAGUUUAUAGAGGAUAAUCAUUUCUAUACGUAAAAACCUCUUCAAUAAAUCAGAAUAAUUCAGUGCAUUCACUGGUAGAGAAAAUACAGCUGUGCAAUAAAUUUGUACAAUAAUUUAUUUCAGUGUAAAAUAACAUAAAAACGACUUUGACCUUUCCAAGAGGGUUGGCGAGGUCGUCAUUGCUCCUAUACAUCAACCUCUCAGGACGCAGAGAGAUGAAGU